Molecule: small nuclear RNA, 105 nt
Organism: Zalophus californianus (California sea lion)
Lineage: Eukaryota; Metazoa; Chordata; Mammalia; Carnivora; Otariidae
Source: Ensembl
GUGCUUGCUUCAGCAGCAUGUACAGUAGAAUUAGAUAACAGAGAAGAUUAGCAUGGCUCUUGUAUGAAGAUGACUAUUAACUAAUGAAUUAAACUAUAGAAAUUU